UAACGACUCUCGGCAACGGAUAUCUCGGCUCUCGCAUCGAUGAAGAACGUAGCGAAAUGCGAUACUUGGUGUGAAUUGCAGAAUCCCGUGAACCAUCGAGUCUUUGAACGCAAGUUGCGCCCGAAGCCAUUAGGUCGAGGGCACGUCUGCUUGGGCGUCUCACA
RNAcentral lists this ribosomal RNA (164 nucleotides) under Planchonella sphaerocarpa. Its description in RNAcentral is "5.8S ribosomal RNA". It matches the Rfam family "5.8S ribosomal RNA". From Rfam's summary of the family: 5.8S ribosomal RNA (5.8S rRNA) is a component of the large subunit of the eukaryotic ribosome. Lineage: Eukaryota; Viridiplantae; Streptophyta; Magnoliopsida; Ericales; Sapotaceae. The record is from RNAcentral.